Molecule: ribosomal RNA, 253 nt
Filed under: uncultured bacterium
Lineage: Bacteria
Description: partial 16S ribosomal RNA
Rfam family: Bacterial small subunit ribosomal RNA
Source: RNAcentral
UACGUAGGUGGCAAGCGUUGUCCGGAUUUACUGGGCGUAAAGAGCGCGCAGGCGGUCGUGCAAGUCGCGUGUGAAAGCCCCCGGCUCAACUGGGGAGGGUCACGCGAUACUGUUCGACUCGAAGGCAGGAGAGGGAAGCGGAAUUCCCGGUGUAGUGGUGAAAUGCGUAGAUAUCGGGAGGAACACCAGUGGCGAAGGCGGCUUCCUGGCCUGUUCUUGACGCUGAGGCGCGAAAGCUAGGGUAGCAAACGGG